Molecule: transfer RNA, 71 nt
Filed under: Candidatus Woesebacteria bacterium
Lineage: Bacteria; Candidatus Woeseibacteriota
Also listed under: 2 other names
Description: tRNA-Ala
Rfam family: tRNA
About the family: Transfer RNA (tRNA) molecules are approximately 80 nucleotides in length. Their secondary structure includes four short double-helical elements and three loops (D, anti-codon, and T loops).
Source: RNAcentral
GGGCCCGGAGUUAGACGGUACAACGCUGCAUUCGCAUUGCAGAGGAAGGAGUUCAAUUCUCCUCGGGUCCA